GGUGCCAUAGCUCAGUUGGUAGAGCGAAGGACUGAAAAUCCUUGUGUCCCCGGUUCGAUUCCUGGUGGCACCA
RNAcentral lists this transfer RNA (73 nucleotides) under Bacteroidaceae bacterium. RNAcentral's name for it is "tRNA-Phe". It matches the Rfam family "tRNA". From Rfam's summary of the family: Transfer RNA (tRNA) molecules are approximately 80 nucleotides in length. Lineage: Bacteria; Pseudomonadati; Bacteroidota; Bacteroidia; Bacteroidales; Bacteroidaceae. The record is from RNAcentral.